Long non-coding RNA from Sciurus carolinensis (gray squirrel), 688 nucleotides. RefSeq lists it as uncharacterized. The transcript has 3 exons. NCBI's taxonomy places the organism in Eukaryota, Metazoa, Chordata, Mammalia, Rodentia, Sciuridae. The record is from RefSeq and is a predicted model, not a curated record.
GAGAAGAGAACACAAAAAGAAUGAAUGCUUAUUCUACAAGCCAUUGGUGAAGAAUUAUGAAGUUCCUACCCUAAUGAAGCUUACACUGAAGGGCAAUGAAAGAUGGAGACAACACAGAUACCUGAUUCCAUGUCUGCUUUUUGGAAGUCCAAUACCUUUUUGAUGACUUCUCUCAAAGGUGGCCUGUUUCUUUCUGCCUGGAAGCUUUGGGGAAUCUUCCUUCCCUUUAUCCCUGGAGUUCUGAAAUCUCCUGUGGCUCUGAUUUCAUUCACUGUGGGGCACCCAGGGAGCCCUUAUAAUGUGCAAACUGAUGUACUUCAGUUCUGGGAUUCUAUCUAGAGUUAGUUUCUCUAUUUUCUCUUUUUGAAACUUUCAUUUAGCUGAUAUUUCUCUUAUUUAUUAUCUUAAAAAAUUAGCUGCACCUCUUGGAUAGGUAUCCGAUUUUUGUACCAAUUUUUUUUUUACUUUUCCUACUUAUCAAUUUUUUUGUAUGUUUUGUUCUCUGAUCGAUUUCCUCAACUUCAUCUUUUAACCCACCUAUUAAAUUUUUUUGUCAUUUUAUUUGUUAACCUCCAUGAGUUCUUUCCUCUUCUCUGAAUGUUCUAAGGUGCAUCCUGAGAUAUAUAUAAUAAAUAUAAUACACAUAUAUAUUCCUGAGAUAUAUUUACAUACAUACAUAUAUAGAAAU